CCUCUGUAGUUCAGUCGGUAGAACGGCGGACUGUUAAUCCGUAUGUCACUGGUUCGAGUCCAGUCAGAGGUG
This 72-nucleotide transfer RNA is filed under the name Enterobacter sp. RNAcentral describes it as "tRNA-Asn". It matches the Rfam family "tRNA". Rfam says of the family: Transfer RNA (tRNA) molecules are approximately 80 nucleotides in length. Their secondary structure includes four short double-helical elements and three loops (D, anti-codon, and T loops). RNAcentral also lists the same sequence under 1 other name. Lineage: Bacteria; Pseudomonadati; Pseudomonadota; Gammaproteobacteria; Enterobacterales; Enterobacteriaceae. The record is from RNAcentral.